RNAcentral lists this ribosomal RNA (406 nucleotides) under uncultured bacterium. RNAcentral describes it as "partial 16S ribosomal RNA". It matches the Rfam family "Bacterial small subunit ribosomal RNA", at positions 30 to 526 of the family's 1533-position model. The record is from RNAcentral.
AUUGAACGCUGGCGGCAGGCCUAACACAUGCAAGUCGAGCGAGCGGCGGACGGGUGAGUAAUGUAUGGGGAUCUGCCCGAUGGAUGGGGAUAACUACUGGAAACGGUUGCUAAUACCGCAUACCAUCGGAUGAACCCAUAUGGGAUUAGCUUGUAGGUGGGGUAAAGGCUCACCUAGGCGACGAUCCCUAGCUGGUCUGAGAGGAUGAUCAGCCACACUGGGACUGAGACACGGCCCAGACUCCUACGGGAGGCAGCAGUGGGGAAUAUUGCACAAUGGGCGAAAGCCUGAUGCAGCCAUGCCGCGUGUAUGAAGAAGGCCUUCGGGUUGUAAAGUACUUUCGGCAGGGAGGCGUUACCUGCAGAAGAAGCACCGGCUAACUCCGUGCCAGCAGCCGCGGUAAUUC